This 401-nucleotide ribosomal RNA is filed under the name uncultured bacterium. RNAcentral describes it as "bacterial SSU rRNA". It matches the Rfam family "Bacterial small subunit ribosomal RNA", at positions 975 to 1375 of the family's 1533-position model. The record is from RNAcentral.
CUGGCCUUGACAUCCAGAGAACUUUCCAGAGAUGGAUUGGUGCCUUCGGGAACUCUGAGACAGGUGCCGCAUGGCCGUCGUCAGCUCGUGUCGUGAGAUGUUGGGUUAAGUCCCGUAACGAGCGCAACCCCUAUCCCUGGUUGCUAGCAGGUAAUGCUGAGAACUCCAGGGAGACUGCCGGUGACAAACCGGAGGAAGGUGGGGAUGACGUCAGGUCAUCAUGGCCCUUACGGCCAGGGCUACACACGUGCUACAAUGGCGCGUACAGAGGGCUGCCAACUCGCGAGAGUGAGCCAAUCCCUUAAAACGCGUCGUAGUCCGGAUCGGAGUCUGCAACUCGACUCCGUGAAGUCGGAAUCGCUAGUAAUCGCGAAUCAGAAUGUCGCGGUGAAUACGUUCCC